AUAUCUCUCUGUACGGGAAGGAUGAGAAGCUUCGACUAAGGUUCGAUUCGAGCGAAGCGAGAAAGCGUUGCCGCAGGCAACGACCCGAAGGGAGAAGCGCGCAGCGCUGAGUCAUCCUUCCCCCACCACCA
RNAcentral lists this small RNA (131 nucleotides) under Salmonella enterica subsp. enterica serovar Lika. Its description in RNAcentral is "RtT sRNA". It matches the Rfam family "RtT RNA". From Rfam's summary of the family: This family represents a bacterial cis-regulatory element known as RtT RNA. The exact function of RtT is unknown although it is thought that it may be involved in changing the cellular response in relation to amino acid starvation. Lineage: Bacteria; Pseudomonadati; Pseudomonadota; Gammaproteobacteria; Enterobacterales; Enterobacteriaceae. The record is from RNAcentral.